CGCUGUAAACGAUGUCGAUUUGGAGUUUGGGGGCAUGACCCUUGGGCUCCGGAGCUAACGCGUUAAAUCGACCGCUGGGGAGUACGGCCGCAAGGUUAAAACUCAAAUGAAUUGACGGGGGCCCGCACAAGCGGUGGAGCAUGUGGUUUAAUUCGAUGCAACGCGAAGAACCUUACCUGGUCUUGACAUCCAUAGAAUCUUUCAGAGAUGAGGGAGUGCCUUCGGGAGCUACGAGACAGGUGCUGCAUGGCUGUCGUCAGCUCGUGUUGUGAAAUGUUGGGUUAAGUCCCGCAACGAGCGCAACCCCUAUCCUUUGUUGCCAGCACGUAAUGGUGGGAACUCAAAGGAGACUGCCGUUGAUAAAGCGGAGGAAGGUGGGGACGACGUCAAGUCAUCAUGGCCCUUACGACCAGGGCUACACACGUGCUACAAUGGCGUAUACAAAGGGAUGCGAAGGUGCGAACUGGAGCGGACCUCACAAAGUACGUCUAAGUCCGGAUUGGAGUCUGCAACUCGACUCCAUGAAGUCGGAAUCGCUAGUAAUCGUGAAUCAGAACGUCACGGUGAAUACGUUCCCGGGCCUUGUACACACCGCCCGUCACACCAUGGGAGUGGGUUGCACCAGAAGUAGAUAGCUUAACCUUCGGGAGGGCGUUUACCACGGUGUGGUUCAUGACUGGGGUGAAGUCGUAACAAGGUAACCA
Molecule: ribosomal RNA, 704 nt
Filed under: uncultured Enterobacteriaceae bacterium
Lineage: Bacteria; Pseudomonadati; Pseudomonadota; Gammaproteobacteria; Enterobacterales; Enterobacteriaceae
Description: bacterial SSU rRNA
Rfam family: Bacterial small subunit ribosomal RNA
Source: RNAcentral